Molecule: non-coding RNA, 1695 nt
Organism: Phascolarctos cinereus (koala)
Lineage: Eukaryota; Metazoa; Chordata; Mammalia; Diprotodontia; Phascolarctidae
Source: RefSeq, a predicted model, not a curated record
UAAAUGUUUAUUGAAUGACUGACUGAAAACCCAGAAGGACUGUAUUUGUCCCAGCUUUCUGGCUCACAAGCCUCCAUUGCACUAGUCCUUAUUAAGCCAGCCAAAACCUGGGUCAUGUUCCACCUGAAAGAAAAGCAAUAUCCAGUGGAGAGAGAGCUCUUAGAGUACAAUGACAGUGAAGUGUGUGUGAGGAGAACAUGUAGCAAAGGGAUAACUCAUAACUCUGGCACUUUCUGUCCUUUUCUUCCUUUGUAGAAUCCUCAUAAAGUUCCCUUCAGGAUAGCUUCCAGCUAGAUUCUGAGGGCUGAUUCCUUUCUAGAUGGCAUACUGGUACUCCUCUCCACUCUGAGAGGUCACACUCUUGAAGCAGCUGCCCUUCUCAGACAUAACAGGAAGGAUGCUCUGGAUGAUACAGCUGGUUCUGCAUGGAGACAAUAUAUAUGUCAAUGGGAAGGAGGCCACAAGGUCCAUGUAGAGUCCACAAAAUUUCCUCAGAAAGGUUCCACUGCAAUCUCUUUCUUGCUAUUUAGCAAGUUCUCCUAGGAGCUCCCUCAAUGGAACUGUGCAACCUGGCCUGCUUGGAGCCAAGAAGGAAUUGAUUUUUGUUCAUCCUUCAUUCUAGAAGAGGACCGCUGAUUUGGGGGGUGAUAUUUUGAUGUGCAAGUGAAUUGGAUUUAAGGAAGACAGAGCUGUGCAAAGUCAUCAGCCCAACCCUCUGCACCACAGUCAUCAGAGUUCUGAGCAACACAUAGGUCAGGACCACUGGAGGCAGCACCAGAUGGAGUAAAAGACCUUGACCUUUCUAAGCUAAGAUCCUUCCCAAGUUUCAGUUUCUCUGAGGCACCACCCAUUCAGUGAUUAAGUUUGGUAAGCAAUGAGGCAAAAGAUGGCCUACUGUGCCUUCACAAAAGAAUGCAUAUGAAGGUGGAAGACCUUCAGAAUUUCUGGCCAGAACAAAAGGUGCCUUUUAAGUGAGGAUAGGCCUGUACAGCUAAAACAAGUGAUAUCUGAAAGAAGUGACAUCAGUCAUUUAUAUCUUUGUUCAAAGUGAUCAGUUCCUAAGAACAAAAUCUGCCAGUCUUGCAAAAUUUCCUGGAUGAGAAGGGACAAAUGUAUAAUUCAAUCUGGGGAUUGCAUAAUACAUAAACAGGGAUUGUGUCUAGGAGGGCACACUUGAGUGAGAAGCUUAAUGACAAUCCCUUAGGUGGUAGAGAGCCACGAGGCAUCCCCUUCAAGAGGAAGGAAGGUGACAAAAAAUGUAGGUGAGGGGAAACGUCAAAAACGUGAGAGUUCUUGAAGACAAGCUUUAUAUCCUUCUCAACUUAGCAUGGGCUCAUCCCUGUUUAAAAUGUAUCCAUGUGUCAGCAUCCACAUGUAAUUCAGUAUAGGAUUGUUCCAACUGGGCUUUCCAUUAUAACUCAGUGUGUGCUGGUCUCUUUGGGAUCAUUCCAAGAAAGAUUCUUUGCUCUGAGUGUUAUUCAACAUGGUUAUACUUGAUUGAGGUAAAAUGGUGAAAUAUUUAACUUUGUUUGUCUUUACUGGGACUGACCCUGAAGAGGGCAAAAGAAUGGAUUUAACAGGCCAGGUAUCCCUAGGAAAUUUGGUGCUGUAAUUCAGCAAUCUACAUUUUUAGUGUCCUCCAUUUUCCUUUUCAGCAUUCUCCUGGGGGUGGGGGUGAGGUGGCCAGUGCCCCAA